This 478-nucleotide ribosomal RNA is filed under the name uncultured bacterium. RNAcentral describes it as "partial 16S ribosomal RNA". It matches the Rfam family "Bacterial small subunit ribosomal RNA", at positions 28 to 507 of the family's 1533-position model. The record is from RNAcentral.
GAUUAACGCUGGCGGCGUGCCUAACACAUGCAAGUCGAACGAUGAAACUCGUUGGAUUUCUUCGUGAUGAUAAUGACUGGCUUAGUGGCGAACGGUGGAUUAACUCGUGAUUAGACUGCCUUACACAAGGGGAAAGCCUGUGGAUACGGGGAAUAAUACUCUAUGAAACGAUUCAAUAGCAUGAUAAGCUGGUCAUACUGUUUAUUGGUGUAAGAGGGAGUUACGACUGAUUAGCUAGUUUGUCAGAUAACAGCGCAACAAGGCAACGAGCAGUAGCAGGGAUGAGAGAGUGUACGGCCACAUUGGGACUGAGACACGGCGCAGACUCCCACGGGAGGCAGCAGUGGGGAAUUUGGCACAAUGGGGGAAACCCUGAUGCAGCGACGCCGCGUGAUUUUGAAGGCCGUCGGGUUGUAAAAAUCUUUUGUAUAGGAAGAAAAUGACAGUACUAAACGAAUAAGGUCCGGCUAAUUACGUG